GCCUUCUGUGUGGGCUUGCCCCUCGCCACACCUGGCCAGGAGCCUCCCCCAGCCCCGUGACCCUUGUGUCAGAGCCUGGCCAGAUGACAGACGGCCUGGGGUGCAGGCGAGACCCACUGAACUGGCAGCUGAGGACAGGUCCAGGCCCAGUGGCUGGGGGACUUCUCAGAGCAGGUACCACAACAGCUACCCAAGGACUCAGGACUUUUCUCCCACAGCCAGACUUGGUGAUUGCAUGAAGGAGCCCAGCCUCGGAUGACCUUUCCCCGUGACAAGGCACUAGGAGAGCACAGACCUCCCCACACAAACACUGAGACACCCAACCUUGCGUGACCUUGAGCCAAACACAACUCUUAGGAUGUAACCUGCUUUACAAGAUGAGAAAGACACGAGUAAAAACAUCAGCAGACUCUGGAAGGCGAGCUGGUGGAUUCAACUGGGACUCAGAAGA
This 451-nucleotide long non-coding RNA is filed under the name Homo sapiens (human). RNAcentral's name for it is "non-protein coding lnc-RREB1-9:7". Lineage: Eukaryota; Metazoa; Chordata; Mammalia; Primates; Hominidae. The record is from RNAcentral.